Carassius carassius (crucian carp) is the source of this 409-nucleotide long non-coding RNA. RefSeq lists it as uncharacterized. The transcript has 2 exons. Lineage: Eukaryota; Metazoa; Chordata; Actinopteri; Cypriniformes; Cyprinidae. The record is from RefSeq and is a predicted model, not a curated record.
CUGACAUGUGUGGAAACCUGGGACUAGACAGCCAAUGUUUUAUAACUGCAGCUUUUUAUUUUUUAAUUGCCUUGUGUUUUUAACUUCUUGCUUUCUCUGAACUGUCUGCCAGACUUGACCAAAGAGUGCCUUUGGCUACACGGAUUGUUUCUGUUGUCGAAUCAUUCCUUCCUUUGAGUUCAUUGCCAGACUGGAUGUAAGAGAAGUGAAUCUGUGCAGACGCUGACGUCAGGAUCAGGUUUAUGCGAGUGAUUCUGUUUCGUCUGUGUGUCUAUGGUGUGUGGUACUACAUGUAUACACUGGGAACUCCAUUUUUUGUCCAAAUUGCUUUUUUAUAACCAAAAUAAAUUGUAUAAAUGAACUAACGGUGAGAUGAUUUUAAAUUAUGCCAAAUAAAAGUUGAGACUCU